RNAcentral lists this ribosomal RNA (249 nucleotides) under Yersinia enterocolitica subsp. palearctica YE-P4. RNAcentral describes it as "partial 16S ribosomal RNA". It matches the Rfam family "Bacterial small subunit ribosomal RNA", at positions 1 to 246 of the family's 1533-position model. The record is from RNAcentral. Lineage: Bacteria; Pseudomonadati; Pseudomonadota; Gammaproteobacteria; Enterobacterales; Yersiniaceae.
AAAUUGAAGAGUUUGAUCAUGGCUCAGAUUGAACGCUGGCGGCAGGCCUAACACAUGCAAGUCGAGCGGCAGCGGGAAGUAGUUUACUACUUUGCCGGCGAGCGGCGGACGGGUGAGUAAUGUCUGGGAAACUGCCUGAUGGAGGGGGAUAACUACUGGAAACGGUAGCUAAUACCGCAUAACGUCUUCGGACCAAAGUGGGGGACCUUCGGGCCUCACGCCAUCGGAUGUGCCCAGAUGGGAUUAGCU